UACGUAGGGUGCGAGCGUUAAUCGGAAUUACUGGGCGUAAAGGGUGCGCAGGCGGCCGAGCAAGUCGAGUGUGAAAGCCCCGAGCUUAACUUGGGAACUGCGCUCGAAACUACUUGGCUAGAGUGUGGCAGAGGGAGGUGGAAUUCCGGGUGUAGCGGUGAAAUGCGUAGAUAUCCGGAGGAACACCGGUGGCGAAGGCGGCUUCCUGGACCGACACUGACGCUGAGGCGCGAAAGCUAGGGGAGCAAACGGG
Molecule: ribosomal RNA, 253 nt
Filed under: uncultured bacterium
Lineage: Bacteria
Description: partial 16S ribosomal RNA
Rfam family: Bacterial small subunit ribosomal RNA
Source: RNAcentral